UACGGGGGGGGCAAGCGUUGUUCGGAAUUACUGGGCGUAAAGGGCGCGUAGGCGGUUUGCUAAGUUGGAUGUGAAAACUCUGGGCUUAACCCAGAGCCUGCAUCCAAAACUGGCUGACUUGAGUACUGGAGGGGAAAGCGGAAUUCCUGGUGUAGCGGUGAAAUGCGUUGAUAUCCACAGGAACUCCGGUGGCGAAGGCGGCACGCUGGACCCCACCUGACGCUGAGGCGCGAAAGCCAGGGGAGCGAACGGG
Molecule: ribosomal RNA, 253 nt
Filed under: uncultured bacterium
Lineage: Bacteria
Description: partial 16S ribosomal RNA
Rfam family: Bacterial small subunit ribosomal RNA
Source: RNAcentral